RNAcentral lists this small RNA (1009 nucleotides) under Pongo abelii (Sumatran orangutan). RNAcentral describes it as "processed transcript". The record is from RNAcentral. Lineage: Eukaryota; Metazoa; Chordata; Mammalia; Primates; Hominidae.
CCGAAACCGGCGCGGAGCAACUGAGGCCUGAGCCUUCCCGGGACCUGGGGGACGCCUAACCCCGCGAGAUGAGGAAACUGAGGCCGCGAGGAGCGCGCACACAGCAGAGAAGCAGCAGAAUCGGGAAUCAAACCCAGCUCUGUCUGACCCCAGAGCCUGUGCCCUUAACCACUGGCCAGGCUGAACGGCCUUUGUUCUUCACUGUCCCCAUCACCUCUUUCAAACCUCAGCCUCUCCUUCCUCAUCGUUACAUCUCUAGGCUGCACCUGGUCUCUAAACAUUCACACAACCCCUGCAAAUUUUCUUCCUCAUAAUUGGGAGAAGACUCACUGGCCGAAUGGCAGCAGUAGAUGACUUGCAAUUUGAAGUUACUUGCUGGACAGAAGAAAAGCUCCCCCUUCUGGACAUUUGAAUACUACCAAACAUUCUUUGACGUGGACACCUACCAGGUCUUUGACAGAAUUAAAGGAUCUCUUUUGCCAAUACCCGGGAAAAAUUUUGUGAGGUUAUAUAUCCGCAGCAAUCCCGAUCUCUAUGGCCCCUUUUGGAUAUGUGCCACGUUGGUCUUUGCCAUAGCAAUUAGUGGGAAUCUUUCCAACUUCUUGAUCCAUCUGGGAGAGAAGACGUACCGUUAUGUGCCCGAAUUCCGAAAAGUGUCCAUAGCAGCUACCAUCAUCUAUGCCUAUGCCUGGCUGGUUCCUCUUGCACUCUGGGGUUUCCUCAUGUGGAGAAACAGCAAAGUUAUGAACAUCGUCUCCUAUUCAUUUCUGGAGAUUGUGUGUGUCUAUGGAUAUUCCCUCUUCAUUUAUAUCCCUACCGCAAUACUGUGGAUUAUCCCCCAGAAAGCUGUUCGUUGGAUUCUAGUCAUGAUUGCCCUGGGCAUCUCAGGAUCUGUCUUGGCAAUGACAUUUUGGCCAGCUGUUCGUGAGGAUAACCGACGCGUUGCGUUGGCCACAAUUGUGACAAUUGUGUUGCUUCAUAUGCUGCUUUCUGUGGGCUGCUUGGUAUG